UCUUCGGCAUCCCGGCAGCUAUCUACAAAACGUUCCUUUAUCGCCUUCAACAUGAAUAUGAAAAUCGCCAUCUUCUUUGUUUUUAUGUUAAUCGGUACCAUCAUGGCCGAAAAUGACAACGAAACGUGCUACGCCUGCGGACCCGAGUGCGCGCCCGCGUGCGGUACCAAGCACUUCAGAACAUGCUGCCACAACUAUAUGAGGAGGAACAUACGUGGCAUUAAGCUGCAGGAUCUAGAUCAAAAUUAGUCACACAGAAGAACAACGACGACCACAGACGAACCAGGACUCC
This is a long non-coding RNA of Melitaea cinxia (Glanville fritillary), 292 nucleotides long. RefSeq lists it as uncharacterized. The transcript has 3 exons. NCBI's taxonomy places the organism in Eukaryota, Metazoa, Arthropoda, Insecta, Lepidoptera, Nymphalidae. The record is from RefSeq and is a predicted model, not a curated record.